Molecule: ribosomal RNA, 439 nt
Filed under: uncultured bacterium
Lineage: Bacteria
Description: partial 16S ribosomal RNA
Rfam family: Bacterial small subunit ribosomal RNA
Source: RNAcentral
CUACGGGCCGCUCCAGUGAGGAAUAUUGCACAAUGGGGGGAACCCUGAUGCAGCAACGCCGCGUGGAGGAUGACGCAUUUCGGUGUGUAAACUCCUUUUAUAUGUCAAGAAAAUGACGGUAGCAUAUGAAUAAGCACCGGCUAACUCCGUGCCAGCAGCCGCGGUAAUGCGGAGGGUGCAAGCGUUACUCGGAAUCACUGGGCGUAAAGGACGCGUAGGCGGGUUGGAAAGUCAGGUGUGAAAUCCUACAGCUUAACUGUAGAACUGCACUUGAAACUUCUAAUCUAGAGUAUGGGAGGGGGAGAUGGAAUUAGUGGUGUAGGGGUAAAAUCCGUAGAUAUCACUAGGAAUACCUAAAGCGAAGGCGAUCUCCUGGAACAUUACUGACGCUAAGGCGUGAAAGCGUGGGGAGCAAACAGGAUUAGAUACCCUAGUAGUC